UUCUUGGAAUGACUUAUAAUUUGAGGUGGAGGAAGUAUUUAACAAUAGGUUGUUGACAUUGCCCGGCACUUCACAGGACAGAUGUAGAACAAGGCUUUUAUUGUUAGAAGAAAAGAAAAUAAGGCAACGUGGCAUGCAGGGGAUAGACGGACAAAGUCUGCCACGCCUAAACUUAAGGUCGCCACAAGAUCUUUGGCCAGCGUUUGGUUCAGCAUCCAGCUUCGGUAUGCCACAGCCACGGAAUCAUCUCGCCACAAAUUUUCUUCCCAAAAAGUGUGGCGGACGUUUUUGCCGCCGCAGCCCGUCGUGGCGCGCCGCAACCCAAAAAAAAUCACUGCAGUAGAAAUAUCCCGAGGCCCAUCUUGUACUACCUCUGUCUGCUAGAUUUUUUCUUCUAUAUUUUUUAAUUCCAUUAUUUAUGUAUGGACAUUUGACAUUUUUCUGUGAUUAGUAGAAUCCAGUAAAAAAUUUGGCUGGGUUGUACUGAUCCAUGCUUGGCUAGUUGCUGGUUUUAUAAUUACUAUUGUAAUCUGAAUCUCCUAGGCUUAAAUCUUCUAUAUAUGUUAUUCUAUGGAAAAUGGGUGUGAUCUUACUGUGACAAUGAGGUUUUUUUCAUUUAUUUGUGGCCGCAAACCAAACAGAUACCACAACAUUUUGCCAUACUUUUGUGGUAGUAAUCCAAACAGCUGCCACACUUAUUUUGCCAAAUCUUAGUCACUAACCAAACACCCUGUUUUUGCCACAGUUUGUGGCUUGCCACACUUAUGGCUGCUACUUAA
This is a long non-coding RNA of Sorghum bicolor (sorghum), 779 nucleotides long. RefSeq lists it as uncharacterized. The record is from RefSeq and is a predicted model, not a curated record. NCBI's taxonomy places the organism in Eukaryota, Viridiplantae, Streptophyta, Magnoliopsida, Poales, Poaceae. The transcript has 2 exons.